AGUGAACGCUGGCGGUAGGCCUAACACAUGCAAGUCGAACGGCAGCACAGUAAGAGCUUGCUCUUACGGGUGGCGAGUGGCGGACGGGUGAGGAAUACAUCGGAAUCUACUUUUUCGUGGGGGAUAACGUAGGUAAACUUACGCUAAUACCGCAUACGACCUACGGGUGAGAGCAGGGGAUCUUCGGACCUUGCGCGAUUGAAUGAGCCGAUGUCGGAUUAGCUAGUUGGCGGGGUAAAGGCCCACCAAGGCGACGAUCCGUAGCUGGUCUGAGAGGAUGAGCAGCCACCCUGGAACUGAGACCCGGUCCAGACUCCUACGGGAGGCAGCAGUGGGGAUUAGUGGACAAUGGGCGGAAGCCUGUUCCAGCCAUACCGCGGGGGGAAAGAAGGCCUUCGGGUUGUAAAGCCCUUUUGUUGGAAAGAAAAGCAGCAGGUUAAUACCCCGCUGUUCUGACGGUACCCAAAGAAUAAGCACCGGCUAACUUCGUG
This 491-nucleotide ribosomal RNA is filed under the name uncultured bacterium. RNAcentral describes it as "partial 16S ribosomal RNA". It matches the Rfam family "Bacterial small subunit ribosomal RNA", at positions 29 to 507 of the family's 1533-position model. The record is from RNAcentral.